Long non-coding RNA from Cyprinus carpio carpio, 5363 nucleotides. The record is from Ensembl. Lineage: Eukaryota; Metazoa; Chordata; Actinopteri; Cypriniformes; Cyprinidae.
GUUACUAACAGGUCGAUGUACUAGUGCAGAAAGGUAAUGAAACUGGGUUCACCUCGGCACUCUCACUUGGGAGGGUCCUCUUCGUCUGCUGUCUGCACAGAUGAGAGCUUUAGGCUAAAUCUCUGCUCCGGAGGGUGACACUCUUCAGCUCUUUGCCACUAUAAUGGCAGGACUCAAGCCAGAUAAUGAUGCUGACAGCCCAACUGUCAGUCUGCCUCUUCCUGCAGCAGCCCCUUAAGAGCUCAACGUGGGACACUGGCCAUGAAUCCGUGAGACUGCUGCAUUUUCAAAAGUCAUUAAUCUAAACAAAGACACCCCGGAGUCUUCCGUGACUCCCUCCGCUCGGCCUUGUCCUCUGCUCAGGAUGGAGGAGACGAAGAGUGAGUGCAAAAGAGGCAGCUCAAAGUUCUGCAGUGCUCUGACGGCCUGACGUGGAGUCAGUGGGCCUCGCAGGUAAAAGGAAGUGGCUUUUUCAGCACCUUGGAGAGCUCUUGAAACCAAUGCAGUGAGGGCAGCUUUGAUGAAGGCUAUGAGUGAAGGUUAUUCUGGACACAUCAGAGUUAGCAGUGCUGCAUUCAGAAUUCAAUUGAAAAUGCAUUGUACAUUCCAGCCCUCAGACUGACACACAUGCUGCUUACCACAUCCAACCAGCUCCUCCAAAGACCCCUAAAUCUGCAAACAUGUUGAAGAUGAGCGAAUGAGAAAGGUGUAGCCCUUAGAAUAAAGCCAAAACUGCUUAACGACAAAGACACCUGGGCCAGAAAAGGAUCAUGGUUAUGAAACAGCGACUCCACAGUUGCCAAAUACUAAUGCAGAUGUUUGGAUCUUUGUUUGCUCAGCGAUUAGCUGGCCAAAAGCAAGCUAUGAUUUAAUCUCUGCUCAGAUGAUCAUCAAGACUGAGAGUCAGCCACCAUUACUGUGGAAGAUGCAUCAGUAAGAGAUGAUUUUACAUCUGGUGCAUUCACAUUUGGAGCAGUGCUUAUGUAUGGUGGUGGGACCAGUUUUUAACCUUUCAUGUCAAAAACAAUCCUGGCAAUGUUCCAUGGAAAGGCCAAGAAGAAAUGACAACAGCGAAAAGGCAUGUGGUUUAAUGUCCCACCUCUGUAGUGUCCACUUCCUGUUCCGCUUCAACUCUGAUGGCAGCAUGGAGGUAUUUAGUCGUCUGAGACGAGGACUGUAUGUUUUCCUGCGGUUGCUUCACCCGAUUCCCCUCCACUGCACACCAGAUGUAACCAAAGCAGAGGACAAAACAAGUGCAUUAUUUUUUCAGAGGCAUGUCUAGUAUGAGACAGUGAUGCGCGCUGACAGGGCCUGCUAAUUGGAGUAAAUUAAUUUACCUCGGGCGCCAUGUUCUCACAAAGUGCCACGCUCCAUGUGAAUAAGUGAUGAUCGGCAGGGCUCAUAUAAGCCCAGAGUUUUUAAAUCAUUUAACAGCGCAUUCUGCUAAUUAGCACAGAGAAAGCCGGCUUUCAGCUACAAUUAAGACGGGCCUCUGUCAGUCAGGGGACCGCAGCCGGGAAGAAGCACUGAUUUAUUCAUCCUGCAAGCAGAUGCUGAGUGCAUUGGGGGUUUGGAUGGAGGGACUUGGAGAUGAAGCAAGCAAGGGGAUCUGAGAGAUGAAGGCAGUGAGGGAGAGGAGUGCAGUAUGUGUGUGGGUUGUUAUUAGUGUGCUGGUGCAGAAAUUGUAUGUUAUUUUUUUUUCUCUGCAAGGAAAGGCCCAAACAAAGCAAUGAGACGAGUUGGUGCAGUACUGUAAGUCUGCCCAUGAGGUUGCAUGUGUAACUUGUGAUUGGUCACCUAUGGGCUUUACUACCCAUGCUUAGUUGACAAGGCUCUUUCCAGGACUAUAGCAUGGUCAUUCCUGUUAUGUUUGAGUUCUGUAAAUUAAAAAAAUUAGGCCUGGGUUAUAAUUUAAAUUGAUAAUUCUACCAAAAAUUCUGUCAUUUACUCACCCUCAUGUUAUUCCAAACCUGUAAGACAUUCGUUCAUCUUUGAAACACAAAUUAAGAUACUUUUAAUGAAAUCUGAGAGAUUUCUGUUCCUUGACAGUCUACACAACUACUGUACCACUUUUUGACGCUUCAAAAAUUUCAUAAAGAGAUAUUCCAUAUGAAUUGAGUGGUUUAGUCCAAAUUUUCUGAAGAGACUCAAUCACUUUAUAUAAUGAACAGAUUUAAUUUAGCCUUUUAUUCACAUAUAAACAUUAAUCAACGCACAGAUCAGUUAUGGCAAACGGAAACUCAAGCAUGCUUGCUUGACGUGUGAGAACCAAUGAGGUUCAUUCUUGUGUGUUACGCAGCAUGUUUGAGCUUCCGUAAGAACCAUCAAGCAAGUAAGGUUCAGCUUCUGUUUAUUUUCACUGAUCAAUUUAAAUAUCUGAAUAAAAGCCUAAAAUAAAUCUGUUAUCAUAUAAAGUGAUGGAGUCUCUUGAAAACAGCUGAAUGCAUUUUGUCAACAAAAAAAGUAGCUUUAAAGACUCCCUGCAGUUUUCUGGUAAAAUAAAAUGUUGAUAGUUUUAAAAUUUGAAAGUGAAGAAAUUCAAAUGGCCAUAAAUAUUGUAAUUUCACAGUUGUACUGUAAAAAAUAUUAUUGUUGUUAAAUACUUAAAAAAUAUAUUUAAUACUAUAAAUUUUUGCUUAAUAUUAUUAGUAUUUAUUUUUAUUUAAUUAGUAUUAUUAAGAUAUAAUCAAAAAUAUUUUACCAGACGUGUAGCUUUUUUUUUUAAAUUGCAUUUUAAAUCACAAUUACAAUUUUAUCAGAAAAAAUCAUAAUUAGACCACAUGCAUUGCUAAUAGUUGCUUCCAUUUGUGUUGCGAUUGCACCAAUGAUGAUUUCACCUCUUGUAUGAAGAUAUUAUUAAGGAAGUGGCUUGGAAGAUUGGAAGUGUUAUUGAGGACACAGGGAAAAAACAAAUAAAACAAAAACAAACAAACAAACAAACAAACAAACAAAAACACUUGAAUUAAAAAAAAAGAAAAAAAAAAAAGCAAAAAACAAAAUAGGUUUUAAAAAUGAAAUUUGAUUACAGAAAGGAUUAAUAUUACAAAAUUAAGGAACACUUGGAAAACUUCCUAAUAAAUUGGCUUUUUUUCAUGUUAGUGUUUUUUUUAAAACAAAUUAGUAAAAUAAUUUAAAAUAAAUGAAUAUGAUAUGAGUUUAAUAUUUUAUCCGCUAUAUAAAGCUGCAUGAGAAUGUACUACAUAACAGGAAUGACCCCUCGCUGUGUUAUGACCCUAAAGUGCAUCUCGGAUCCAAAGGUAGCGAUCUGACUUUAAUGACUCUAAGAUACACACAUUGACAAAUAACAUUAACUCAUCUUUUUUGAAAGGAGGAAAUACUCUGUAUAGCUUAAGAAAAAUAUAUCUCUGGACCUUCGAGCCAAAUGUCUAUUAUUUUCAGCGAUCACUCAACAGUCUACACAGCACAUUUCGAGUUUGUCUUGGCUCUGUAAAAUCCCAGGAACAGUCUGGCAGACAUUUUUAAACAAAUUUACAAGGUGCUUGACACGUAAUGAGAAAAUGCUUUUCAUUCUCGCAUCCAAAUAUUUGACGGCAACACGGCGGAAGGUCUAGGUUUUGAGGCUGUCUAACAUCUCGGCUCUCAGGAACGACGCCAGCCGAUCCAUGUAAGUACAUUUUAUCAGGCUGUUGAGAUAAACACGGUGGAUUUGGCUAUUUUAUUUCUUUCAGGUGCUCAGUGUAUCUGUGUGUUUGGCUGUGCCCUCUGCUUUACAAGAUCCCUCCUGACCUCUGCUCUGUUUUGCAUCUCGCAACACGUCCCAUCGGGCUAAUCUCCAACAGAUACGAGACAUACAUUUUAGAUCAGUGGAUUAAGCCCAUGGUAAAAUGCAAUGAAUCAGUAAAAAGCAACGGUUCUUCCUGCUCGGCCAUGCACAUGUGAUCUGACGGAUGAUUCCUCGGGUUCAUCCAUAACCCUGACAGCUUCAGUCUAUAAACAAACCCUCGUUUUAAUUCCGACACCGAGAUGUGACACUCGUGCGGCAAAUGCUCACCCAAAGCUCCUCCAGCCCCGCCGAUUUAUUCAAGGUCAGGCCCACGUGUUCGUUUGUCUUAUCACAUAAUGGCUUGCAGGCUUCUGCAACUUGGAAAUUUGUGUCUGGCUGUGAAUUAUAAAUACUGUUCAGAUGAAGCCUCUAUAGAUAAAGGACCCUGAAAUUGUUAGCAUGGUGCUGUUUUUUUCCCUUGGCUAAAGUUUGUUGACCACUAUUUAUUUAUCAGGUAUUCCUGAUAUGCUUUCCUUGGUUAUAAUUACUUGAUUUGGCUUACUCUCGCUCUCUCUCACCAGUGCUAAAAGUCUUUCACUUUGAUCUGAAAAGUCUUUGCAGGCUCAUUGACUGUAAUGAGAUCUGGAGAAUCCAUAAAGACGGCUGGGAUUUGACUGGGAGCCGAAAACUCGGAGCUGGGAAUCAGCCGCAUUUCACGGAUGGAGCAAAAAAAAGAAAAAAAAAGAUCUCAGAUGACUUGGCAGCGCUUUGCCUUACCCUCCUCUACGCCAGAUCCGAACAUUAAUUUCCCCACAGUCUGGAAUUCCUGUGUGGAGUGGGGGGGAAUUCACAGGAGAAAGAGGAUUGGAAAGAGGCUUCUAGAUGUUUCUGUUUGCAGCCCAAAAGGGGCGUCCCGUGAUGAGAGCCAGGAUUUCUAUAAUCUCAAGCGUUGACAAGCGUCCAGUCCAUCAAUCAGGGGCUCCAGGGUUUCGUUCCUUUGCUUUAUCCAGGCCAACUUUCACACGGUCUCCGCUGAUGUCUGAUAAAGCUGCUUUAUUGGGUCAAGGAGAGAUGGAGAGAGGGCUGCCCUACCGCUAACCAAAGGGUUUCUCUGAACGCCGCCCAGACGGCCUUGCCAGCUUCGCUCUAUUGCCGCUGGGAUGUAUUUCUCCAUCAGAUAAACAUCAGGGCAGCUUUUCCUUCUUAAUCUGUCAAAAGGGUUCAGACAGGAUCUAAAAAUACCCUGUCGGUGUUUGCCCAUGUCCAACUAAAUUAGGGGAGGAGCAGGGCUAAACAAAAUUUGCAUCAGACAACUUAAAUGAGUCCAGUUUUUUUUUAUUAGAUUAUACAUCCAUAAUUAUGUUAGGUUUUAAAGUGAUAGAGAAUAACUCUGACAACACAUGUUGCUGAGUAACUAGAUAAAAGAAGCUAUUGAAAUAUAGACAUUUUCAAUGAUAAUUUGUUGUUUUGUAUGUUGACGAGGUAUGUUUUUAAUACAUUUUUCCUUCAGUUUCUUGUCCCAGGGUUGAUUAAAAUUUUUUUUUUUUUAUGAAAGUCACAUUUAACACUGUCACCAUGCAUUUGUCAUUUAUUUUUGCUACUUUUCAAUCAUAUAUAUAUAUAUAUAUAUAUAUAUAUA